GACAGAGGGGGCGAGCGGUGUCCGGAGUCACUGGGCGUAAAGCGCGCGCAGGCGGCAGACUUAGUGUCGUGUGGAAGCUCCCGGCUCAACCGGGGGAGGCCAUGGCAAACUGGGUCGCUCGAGCUGCGGAGAGGCCCCUCGAAUUGCCGGUGUAGCGGUGAAAUGCGUAGAGAUCGGCAGGAAGACCAGGGGGGAAGCCAGGGGGCUGGCCGCAGGCUGACGCUGAGGCGCGACAGCGUGGGGAGAAAACCGG
Molecule: ribosomal RNA, 253 nt
Filed under: uncultured bacterium
Lineage: Bacteria
Description: partial 16S ribosomal RNA
Rfam family: Bacterial small subunit ribosomal RNA
Source: RNAcentral